RNAcentral lists this ribosomal RNA (642 nucleotides) under uncultured Burkholderia sp. RNAcentral's name for it is "bacterial SSU rRNA". It matches the Rfam family "Bacterial small subunit ribosomal RNA", at positions 68 to 705 of the family's 1533-position model. The record is from RNAcentral. Lineage: Bacteria; Pseudomonadati; Pseudomonadota; Betaproteobacteria; Burkholderiales; Burkholderiaceae.
GGUAGCACGGGGGCAACCCUGGUGGCGAGUGGCGAACGGGUGAGUAAUACAUCGGAACGUGUCCUGUAGUGGGGGAUAGCCCGGCGAAAGCCGGAUUAAUACCGCAUACGCUCUACGGAGGAAAGGGGGGGAUCUCAGGACCUCUCGUUAUAGGGGCGGCCGAUGGCAGAUUAGCUAGUUGGUGGGGUAAAGGCCUACCAAGGCGACGAUCUGUAGCUGGUCUGAGAGGACGACCAGCCACACUGGGACUGAGACACGGCCCAGACUCCUACGGGAGGCAGCAGUGGGGAAUUUUGGACAAUGGGCGCAAGCCUGAUCCAGCAAUGCCGCGUGUGUGAAGAAGGCCUUCGGGUUGUAAAGCACUUUUGUCCGGAAAGAAAUCCUUUGGCCUAAUACGUCGGGGGGAUGACGGUACCGGAAGAAUAAGCACCGGCUAACUACGUGCCAGCAGCCGCGGUAAUACGUAGGGUGCAAGCGUUAAUCGGAAUUACUGGGCGUAAAGCGUGCGCAGGCGGUUCGCUAAGACAGAUGUGAAAUCCCCGGGCUUAACCUGGGAACUGCAUUUGUGACUGGCGGGCUAGAGUAUGGCAGAGGGGGAUAGAAUUCCACGUGUAGCAGUGAAAUGCGUAGAGAUGUGGAGGA